AUUUCAAUGAUGCCCAGAGGCAAGCUACCAAGGAUGCUGGUGUUAUCGCUGGUUUGAAUGUGGCUAGAAUUAUCAACGAGCCUACGGCUGCUGCGAUUGCAUAUGGCCUGGAUAAGAAGGGCGGUGAGAAAAACAUCCUUGUUUUCGACCUUGGAGGUGGAACUUUUGAUGUCAGCAUAUUGACCAUUGACAAUGGAGUUUUUGAGGUCUUGGCAACAAAUGGUGACACCCAUCUU
This 236-nucleotide unclassified non-coding RNA is filed under the name Hevea brasiliensis (rubber tree). The record is from RNAcentral. Lineage: Eukaryota; Viridiplantae; Streptophyta; Magnoliopsida; Malpighiales; Euphorbiaceae.